RNAcentral lists this ribosomal RNA (253 nucleotides) under uncultured bacterium. RNAcentral's name for it is "partial 16S ribosomal RNA". It matches the Rfam family "Bacterial small subunit ribosomal RNA", at positions 524 to 776 of the family's 1533-position model. The record is from RNAcentral.
UACGGGGGGGGCAAGCGUUGUUCGGAAUUACUGGGCGUAAAGCGCGCGCAGGCGGUUUCUUAAGUCUGAUGUGAAAGCCCCCGGCUCAACCGGGGAGGGUCAUUGGAAACUGGGAAACUUGAGUGCAGAAGAGGAAAGUGGAAUUCCAAGUGUAGCGGUGAAAUGCGUAGAGAUUUGGAGGAACACCAGUGGCGAAGGCGACUUUCUGGUCUGUAACUGACGCUGAGGCGCGAAAGCGUGGGGAGCAAACAGG